AGUAAUACAGUCGGGUUACGAAUGUGGUCUAAAGAGACAUGAAGAAUGGUUACUCAUAAAGAGUACCUCGCUUGGUUUUCUUUUAUUUGUUGCUGGUAAGCCGGAUACCAGGUCGCAAGAAUGACUUCGUGUUUUCCGGUUUGAGGCGUGCUGUGCUUUCUUCAGUAGGAAAUUUGGGUCCAGAUAAGCAUUUGGAUGUGAGAGAGGGAC
Molecule: long non-coding RNA, 210 nt
Filed under: Hordeum vulgare
Lineage: Eukaryota; Viridiplantae; Streptophyta; Magnoliopsida; Poales; Poaceae
Description: long non-coding RNA (HVUL_LNC013327)
Source: RNAcentral